CCUACGGGGGGCUGCAGUAGGGAAUAUUGCGCAAUGGGGGAAACCCUGACGCAGCGACGCCGCGUGAGCGAUGAAGGCCUUCGGGUCGUAAAGCUCUGUCGUAUGGGAAUAAUUUUGAAUGUACCAUAUAAGAAAGGAUCGGCUAACUUCGUGCCAGCAGCCGCGGUAAGACGAGGGAUCCUAGCGUUGUUCGGAAUCAUUGGGCGUAAAGCGGGUGUAGGUUGCUUUUUAAGUCAGGUGUGAAAGCCUAGGGCUCAACCCUAGAAGUGCAUCUG
Molecule: ribosomal RNA, 275 nt
Filed under: uncultured Bdellovibrio sp.
Lineage: Bacteria; Pseudomonadati; Bdellovibrionota; Bdellovibrionia; Bdellovibrionales; Pseudobdellovibrionaceae
Description: partial 16S ribosomal RNA
Rfam family: Bacterial small subunit ribosomal RNA
Source: RNAcentral